Molecule: long non-coding RNA, 2449 nt
Filed under: Papio anubis (olive baboon)
Lineage: Eukaryota; Metazoa; Chordata; Mammalia; Primates; Cercopithecidae
Description: lncRNA (ENSPANG00000048570.1)
Source: RNAcentral
GGAUUUCAUUGUCACUCAGGCUGGAAUCUAGUGGUGAUAUGGUUUGGCUGUGUCCCCACCCAAAUCUCAUCUUGAAUUGUAGCUCCCAUAAUUCCUCUGUGUGGUGGGAGGGACCCAGUGGGAGAUAACUGAAUGAUGGGGGAAGUUUCCCCCAUACUGUUCUCGUUGUAGUAAAUAAGUCUUACAAGAUCUCAUGGUUCUAUAAGGGGAAACCCCUUUUGCUUGACUCUCAUUCUCUCUUGUCUGCCACCAUGUAAGAUGUACCUUUUGCCAUGAUUGUGAGGCCUCCCCAGCCAUGUGGAACUGUGAGUCUAUUAAACCUCUUUUUCUUUACAAAUUACCCAGUCUCAGAGACAGGGUUCCACUAUGCUGCUCAAGCUGGUUUUGAACUCCUGGGCUCAAGUUGUCCGCCCACCUCAGCCUCCCAAAGUGUUAGGAUUACAGGCCUGAGCCACAGCACCUGACUCUAACAAUUAUUUAACAUAUGAAUUUAACAUGUCAUUUACAGCUCAUAACUAAUGAGUGACUUAUUUAUUAAAUAUAGAAAAAACUUCUACAAAUCAUUUACAAAAAUGUGCAUAUAUACACACAACCCGAUAGAAAAAAUGGGCUUGAGUAGGCACCUCAAACAAGAGCACAUCUACUAGGUCAGUGAAAAUAUCAGUAUGUGCUCAUCUCAUUAUUAACCAGGUUAAAAAAAUAAAACCACAGUGUGGUUUGACUGUAUAGCUACCAGAAUGGUCAAAAUUAAAAUGACAAAUUUGAUAUCAUUUAUCAAAUGUUGGCGAAAGAAUAAAGCAAUUGUAUCCCUUGUAUGCUGUUGGUGGGAAUGGAAACUCCAGCCAUCCCUUUGGCAAAUCAUCAGUGUUCUCUAAAGCUGAACAUGUGCAUUUUCUGUGACGAGGUGACUGUGACCUAGUUUUUCCUGGACAGUUUUGAUUUAGGCAUACUUUCUCAAAAUGCUGUUCAGUUCAGUAUUUGUCCUGGACUUCUUCAUUUUUAAAUAAAAUUUUGUCAUUAAUGGUUGCAUUAAAAUAAUCCAGGAUAGGUUUGGUGGACUUCGACUUGAUUCUUCUAACUUUAACCCAUGAUCUUGUGUAGUAGCAUGGAACACACAUGCAGUUUACAUAGAGUUGGUACUUAAUACAUUUUUUUCUCUUAAAGGCAAUCAGGGAUAACAUUCCUUUCUUUCCCUAUCUCUCUGCCGAUGCCGCAUAACUAAAAUUUCCCUUUGAUGAAUAGCAUGAAGAGUGCUCACUGACAAAAAAAAAAAAGUCAAAAAAAAAAAAAAAAAACGAAAAAAGUGUAGGAAUAAUUUUCUUCUUCCAGUCUUGAAUUAUAGUGAAAGAAGUUCUCGAAAUGCUGCCCCUGCUGGCCAUUUGAUAUAACAACAGCCAACUGUGCCAUAGCCCUUAGGUGUUAGCCUGAAAGAAGCUGGAAGUCAUUAAACUGCCAGUUGGCAUAGACAGUAGGAAAGUUGAGAAACUAGAGGUUAGUGUACUUGAAAUAGCAGAAAGUAGAGGCUGAGCCGUCUCGUUAAAGAAUAAAUGAAUAGUAGUCAAAAUGAUUUUGCUACGGUGACUGUUAUGUAUUACAUGAUGUAAAUCUACAACUGUGCAUUUAUUUGUCAUUAUUUGGUAAUACUUUUUUAUUUCACAAUAAAUUCUCUUGGGAGCAAUGAGCUCAAAUGAGUGGAAAUGCAUAUUUAAUAAAAAAUAAAGUACUAUGUUUCAGUUUCUGAAGGAAGUUGAUGACGAAUGUAUUAUAGUGAGUCCUGAAAUAAGGUCAUUUUUUUCAACAUCAUUGUAACAUUGAUGAGGAAAAAAAAAAUGGACUCCCAACUGGGGCCAUUGUCUGUGUAGAGUUUGCAUGUUAUCCCCAUGUUUGUGUGGGUUUUCUCUAGAUAUUCUGAUUUCCUCCCACAUCCCAAUGACCCCAAGAUGUGCACAUUGGGGUCACUGAUUUGUUUAUAUGGUCCCAGUCUGAGUGAGUGUAGGUACGUGUUUGAGUGUGCCCUGAGACAGGAUGUCAUCUUGCCCAGCAAUGGUUUCCACCUUGCAUCCUGAAAUGCUGGGAGAAGGUCUUACCACCUGUGACCCUAACCUGGAAUACUGGAGUAAAUAAUCAUCCUGCUUGGUUUUAUUAACCUUUCUCAAAUGUAUGUAUAGCUCACACUUAUUUCAAUGUUUAAUAUUAGCAUUUUGGGGUCUUUAUUUAGAAGUUUGGUGAUGUUUUUAUAACCAGAAAUAUGUCAUAGGAAGUUAACUCUUGUUCAUAUCAAUUAGCCUAUGGUCAAGCUGGUUUCAUUCUAUGUUGUUUUGAUUAAAGUUGCUUUAUCCAAGAACUAUUGAUGAUGUUAAGUGAUGAUUUACUGUGUUUUCAAAAAAUAUUUGUUGACUUCAACUAUCCAUCACAGGGCAUCACUGAUCACAGUGGUAUCACUGAUCAC